CUUGAACUCACUUUGUAGCUCAGGCUGGCCUUAAACUCACAGAGAUACUCCUGCCUCAGUCUCCUGAGUGCUGAGAU
Molecule: microRNA precursor, 77 nt
Organism: Cavia aperea (Brazilian guinea pig)
Lineage: Eukaryota; Metazoa; Chordata; Mammalia; Rodentia; Caviidae
Source: Ensembl